UACGGAGGGUGCGAGCGUUAAUCGGAAUUACUGGGCGUAAAGGGUGCGCAGGCGGCGUCGCAAGUCAGGCGUGAAAUCCCCGGGCUUAACCUGGGAACUGCACUUGAAACUACGAUGCUGGAGUAUGGCAGAGGGAGGUGGAAUUCCACGUGUAGCGGUGAAAUGCGUAGAGAUGUGGAGGAACACCGAUGGCGAAGGCAGCCUCCUGGGCCAAUACUGACGCUCAUGCACGAAAGCGUGGGGAGCAAACAGG
RNAcentral lists this ribosomal RNA (253 nucleotides) under uncultured bacterium. RNAcentral's name for it is "partial 16S ribosomal RNA". It matches the Rfam family "Bacterial small subunit ribosomal RNA", at positions 524 to 776 of the family's 1533-position model. The record is from RNAcentral.